This 251-nucleotide ribosomal RNA is filed under the name uncultured bacterium. Its description in RNAcentral is "partial 16S ribosomal RNA". It matches the Rfam family "Bacterial small subunit ribosomal RNA", at positions 524 to 776 of the family's 1533-position model. The record is from RNAcentral.
UACAGAGGUCCCAAGCGUUGUUCGGAUUCACUGGGCGUAAAGGGUGCGUAGGCGGUCGGGUAAGUCUGAUGUGAAAUCUCACAGCUUAACUGUGAAACUGCAUUGGAUACUAUUCGGCUUGAGAGUUGGAGGGGGACUGGAAUUCUUGGUGUAGCAGUGAAAUGCGUAGAUAUCAAGAGGAACACCGUGGCGAAGGCGAGUCCCUGGACAACUUCUGACGCUGAGGCACGAAAGCUAGGGGAGCAAACAGG